GGCAACCUACUCGGGUUCCCUUCCAUGGUGUGGAAGCUUAGUUCUUUUGCUAUUCACAGUAAAUCUUGCUGUUCCUCGCUCUUUGGGUCCGCACUACCUUUCUGAGCUGUAACACUCACUGCGAAGGUCUGAGGCUUCACUCCUGAAGUUAGCAAGACCGCAAACCCACCAGGAGGAACAAACGAUUCUGGACGUGCCACCUUUAAGAGCUGUAACACUCACUGCCAAGGUCUGCGGCUUCACUCCUGAAGUCAAGUGAGACCACGAACCCACCGGAAGGAAGAAACUCCAGACACAUCUGAACAUCUGAAGGAAAAAACUCUGGACAAACCAUCUUUAAGAACUGUAACACUCACUGCGAAGGUCUGAGGCUUCACUCCUGAAGUCAGCAAGACCACGAACCCACCAGGAGCAACAAAUGACUCUGGACGCACCACCUUUUAAGAGCUGUAACACUCACUGCCAAGGUCCCUGGCUUCAUUCUUGAAGUCAGUGAGACCAAGAACCCACUGGAAGGAACUAAUUCUAGACAUGCUAGUUCCCAGAUCCUGUUUCUCUGGAGAGGCCUAACUAAUACAUAGACAAAGCCAAAUGACUUUUUCCCCUCUCUGAACUUUGAUAUUCUUUAAACAUUUCCAGCUAGUUCUUUUAAUAUUUCUUGAGGAUUUCCUGGGAUUUUUUUUUUGGUAAAUACUGUAUUUCACCAGCUACUCCUUCAAGAACAUAGUCGUCAUAUGCUUUAUUAUCCAUGAAGAUUAUUAGUGAACCCACAGUUCGUUUGUCAAAAUGACUCUAAAUUCGUGAUAUUCAGAUGAUCACACUCCAUAAUACUGCCACCAGAGCCAAGUUAUUGGAGUUACUACUUUUUAUGAUCAGCACAAUUAUUUUUCUAUGAAAGAAUUGUUGGUAUUAAAAGGGCCACAGUAGACUAUUUGCUAUUGAAUGAUUGUUGGUUAGUACUUAAUUAAAACAAAAAUGUUUUUUAUA
Molecule: long non-coding RNA, 987 nt
Filed under: Homo sapiens (human)
Lineage: Eukaryota; Metazoa; Chordata; Mammalia; Primates; Hominidae
Description: non-protein coding lnc-EPHA7-3:1
Source: RNAcentral